RNAcentral lists this ribosomal RNA (330 nucleotides) under uncultured bacterium. RNAcentral's name for it is "bacterial SSU rRNA". It matches the Rfam family "Bacterial small subunit ribosomal RNA", at positions 568 to 898 of the family's 1533-position model. The record is from RNAcentral.
UCCGUAGGCGGUGUGGCAAGUCGGAAGUGAAAUCUCUGGGCUUAACUCAGAGGCUGCUCCCGAAACUGCCGUGCUAGAGUGCGAGAGAGGCGAGUGGAAUUGCGGGUGUAGCGGUGAAAUGCGUAGAUAUCCGCAGGAACAUCCGAGGCGAAAGCGGCUCGCUGGAUCGCAACUGACGCUGAGGGACGAAAGCUAGGGGAGCAAACAGGAUUAGAUACCCUGGUAGUCCUAGCCCUAAACCAUCAGGACUUGGGGUUUGCCCUGUACGGGGCAAGUCCCGUAGCUAACGCGUUAAGUCCUGCGCCUGGGGAGUACGGUCGCAAGGCUGAA